AAGGACAGACGCUAUCGGACACUACAGGAGGCGGCCCGUGACUCUGUGUUUCAUCUGCGUCCAGGCGUCCCCCCUUGUAUCUAGCAAUGCUGGUAGGCGGGGGAGGGGGAUUCAGCUGAGGCAGAGAACCCAAAUCUGAGCGGGAGGCCAGAGUUACUGCGACAAGAGGAAGCGCGGAGCCAGCCAAGGGUACGGCAGGAGCUUCGCCGCCGGGGAAAUCCAGCGCCGGGCCGCAGCCGGCACCGCCGCCUCUGUCAUCUCGCGCCGCCGGCCAUUGUACGGAUCCAUCACAGGCCAGUCUAGGAACGGGGUUGGGGAAGCAAUAGCUGUCAGGUGUUCAUUUUUAAGCCGUCGGCAUGCAGAACUACAGCAAGCUCAACAAGCUGCCCACAAUUCUGGAAGAAGAUGAGUCAGACAGGGGUGACGGCACCAGUCCGGUUUUUACACGAUGAACUUCUGUAGGAAAUUCAUUGGUGAUCAAGCAAGUCAUGAUAUACAUGUGGUUGAAGAGCAAUGUCUGGCGCCAUAUUACCUUUAUGACAUCUUGCAUCUCAAGGGGAACAAUGCAAAGAGGCCACACCAAUUUAUCGAGUCUAUCGAUGAAUGAAUAAGAGAGCAGAGUUGAGUAAAGCAACGAUGAAAAACUAGUCACUCCAUCCCAAUAAGUGUCUCAAAUUUGUACUAGCUUAAGUGUAAAAUUAUACUAAGCUUGAGACACUUAUUUUGGGACUGAGGGAGUAUUUAGUAUCCUGAGGCACAUCUAUGCUUGUUUUGGGGUGCAAGCAAUGUAUGAUAUUGUUCUGGCUAGGCUAUGAAGUCUGAAUUAUUCUCAUGUUGACACUUGUGACCAACUUA
Molecule: long non-coding RNA, 855 nt
Organism: Triticum aestivum (bread wheat)
Lineage: Eukaryota; Viridiplantae; Streptophyta; Magnoliopsida; Poales; Poaceae
Exons: 5
Source: RefSeq, a predicted model, not a curated record